Triticum aestivum (bread wheat) is the source of this 500-nucleotide long non-coding RNA. RefSeq lists it as uncharacterized. Lineage: Eukaryota; Viridiplantae; Streptophyta; Magnoliopsida; Poales; Poaceae. The transcript has 3 exons. The record is from RefSeq and is a predicted model, not a curated record.
AUCGUGACUCGCCUCCAGUGUGCCGCCUCCGUACGUGCCUAUUAUCCAGAUUCCGGCCGGCCGUCUGAUUCUACCGUUGUAUCUAGUAAUUGUCCAAGGCGGUGAAAAAUCAUAAUGGGGGCUGAGGAGCUGGAGCCGGUUGCAGAGGUCACCAUGUCAUCAUCAUUGAAACUAAAAAAGGUUGGAGUAGACAGAGGAGGAAGAAAAGGCGAUCGACCGAAGCAAACUUGAUGAUAUACCAGCGACGCUCAUGGCCAGGGGUCCUUGGUCUCAAGGCGCACAAGGCCGAGAGGAUCAUCAGGAAAGGCAACCCGUACCUCUUUUGUCAAGUCGUUCUAGAAACAAAGCCGUUGACCAUGGACCACCGCACGACCCGUGUCAGGCUUAUCGUAGACACAUCCAAUCGCGUCGUGGGUGGGUUGGUACCUCAUCUUGUUGAGGGAGGUGUUUCCAUCCUUUAGUACGCCGACAAUACAAUCAUCUUUAUGGAGCAUGAUUUG